This 428-nucleotide ribosomal RNA is filed under the name uncultured bacterium. RNAcentral's name for it is "bacterial SSU rRNA". It matches the Rfam family "Bacterial small subunit ribosomal RNA", at positions 355 to 786 of the family's 1533-position model. The record is from RNAcentral.
UGAGGAAUAUUGGUCAAUGGUCGGGAGACUGAACCAGCCAAGCCGCGUGAGGGGUGAAGGUGCUAAGCAUUGUAAACCUCUUUUGUCAGGGAACAAAGGCAUCCACGAGUGGAUGUGUGAGUGUACCUGAAGAAAAAGCAUCGGCUAACUCCGUGCCAGCAGCCGCGGUAAUACGGAGGAUGCGAGCGUUAUCCGGAUUUAUUGGGUUUAAAGGGUGCGUAGGCGGCCUGUUAAGUCAGCGGUAAAAGCCCGGGGCUCAACCCGCGAGCGUGAACUGCUGGCUGGAGUUGGCGAGAGGUAUGGCGGAAUGCGCGGUGUAGCGGUGAAAUGCUUAGAUAUCGCGCAGAACUCCGAUUGCGAAGGCAGCAUGCCGGCGCCACACUGACGCUGAGGCACGAAAGCGUGGGGAUCAAACAGGAUUAGAUACC